CUCAUGUACUGAUGUUUUAAAUAAAUAAAGGCAUUUAGUUCAUCAUAUGCUGCAUCUUAUUUUGAUGAACCCCAUAAAUUAGGGCUAUGGUUUUAGGGUUAUGAUGCGAUCAUACCAAGUGAGACCUAAAAUCUUAAAACUCUAAUUUUAAAUAUUCCUAGUCGUUGGAACAUUGAGUAGGAGAUCAAUGUUUCCGAUAAGACUGGUACAUCCUGUGUAUGCUCGGUAGAGAGGGUAAUUGAUCUCACAAUUACUUGUGUAUGACACUAAUAUAAGGAUGUAAGUGUUCAUUAGAGAAUGAAUUCACUGAAUUGAUCCAAUUAAAGAAUAUCUGAUGGAGUCUUAUCUACAUGUUAACAGAUUUUUUCUCAUAGUGGGAAUUGUGCAUGUAAAUCUUUUGACCUGAGACUGCCAUAGAACCUUAUAAGCAUGAAUCCA
RNAcentral lists this long non-coding RNA (438 nucleotides) under Elaeis guineensis (African oil palm). RNAcentral describes it as "long non-coding RNA (EGUI_LNC074176)". Lineage: Eukaryota; Viridiplantae; Streptophyta; Magnoliopsida; Arecales; Arecaceae. The record is from RNAcentral.